GGAGAAAUAGUUUUUUGGCGAACAGCCGUGGAUGACCAUGCAGAGGAUCCAGGAUCAGUUCCUAGUACCCACUUGAUAGCUCAGGAACAUCUGUAACUCUAGUUCCAGAGGUUCUGAUGCCCUCUGCUGACCUCUGGGCAUCUGGCAUAUACGUGGUAUACAGACAUACAUGCAGACAAAACACCCAUACACAUAAAAUAAUAAUAAUUAAAAAAAUGUUAUAUGCCUUGUUCUUAGCUUAGAACCUCCAAGUAGACUUGGGUGGAGAAUUAGAGAGAAUGAUUUCAAAAAACCUUGGGGUCACCAGCAUCAUUCGGAGCAGAAGGAAUAUGGCGUCCGCUACUCGUGCUAUCUAAAAGCAGCGGAACUGGGCAUCUGGGGACCCAGCCACCUCCUAAAUUCCCUGUGGGUCCUAGUCACAAGCUGUCCAACAAUUACUACUGUACUCGUGAUGGCCGCCGGGAUGUUGUGCCUCCCUCAAUCAUCAUGUCCUCACGAAAGGCCCUGAUGUCAGGCAAGACAGUUGAGAGUUCUGCUAUGGCAGCCACUGAGAAGAAGGCAGUGACACCCGCUCCUCCCAUGAAGAGGUGGGAGCUGUCCAAGGACCAGCCAUACCUGUGACCCUACCCUAGGUUACCUUGCUAUAUGUCUCUAGGGCCACAUGACUGCUUUUCCUCCUUGGAUUUCCUCUGGGGAGAGUGUGACCUAAUUUAUAACAAAUACUUAGAGUUCCACAUUAAAAACAAACCAAAACCAAACUUUGGGCUGGGCUGUGGAGAUGGCCCAGUGGGUAAAGGGUGAAGACACUUGCUGCCAAGCGUGAGUUCAACCUGGAACUCACACGGUGGAAGGAGAGUACCAUGUCCCACAUGUUGUCCUCUGACCUCUGUAUGCAAUUUGCAUGUGUACCUCACUGUACACACACACAAUGAAUGGAUGUAAUAAAAGCCAAAUGAAGGGC
RNA transcript from Mus musculus (house mouse), 961 nucleotides. It is a transcript of the gene named predicted gene 15694, with no coding region annotated. Lineage: Eukaryota; Metazoa; Chordata; Mammalia; Rodentia; Muridae. The record is from RefSeq and is marked validated. The transcript has a single exon.